GAAAAGAUAGCAUAAUAAUGCAACUGCCUUGAAAGCUCUUGAUAAGGAAUAACAACCCUUUCUUUUCG
This 68-nucleotide transfer RNA is filed under the name Rossellidae sp. DVL-2014. RNAcentral describes it as "tRNA-Ser". It matches the Rfam family "tRNA". Rfam says of the family: Transfer RNA (tRNA) molecules are approximately 80 nucleotides in length. Their secondary structure includes four short double-helical elements and three loops (D, anti-codon, and T loops). Lineage: Eukaryota; Metazoa; Porifera; Hexactinellida; Lyssacinosida; Rossellidae. The record is from RNAcentral.